RNAcentral lists this unclassified non-coding RNA (334 nucleotides) under soil metagenome. RNAcentral's name for it is "partial contains 5.8S ribosomal RNA, internal transcribed spacer 2, and large subunit ribosomal RNA". The stretch from base 1 to 120 matches the Rfam family "5.8S ribosomal RNA", at positions 35 to 154 of the family's 154-position model. The record is from RNAcentral.
GAUGAAGAACGUAGCGAAAUGCGAUAAGUAAUGUGAAUUGCAGAAUUCAGUGAAUCAUCGAAUCUUUGAACGCACAUUGCGCCCGCCAGUAUUCUGGCGGGCAAGCCUGUUCGAGCGUCAUUUCAACCAUCAAGCCCUGCUUGCGUUGGGGUCCUGCGGCUGCCCGCAGGCCCUGAAAACCAGUGGCGGGCUCGCUAGUCACACCGAGCGCAGUAAUACAUCUCGCUUUGGGCGUGCGGCGGGUUCUUGCCGUUAAACACCCCCUUUUUACCAAGGUUGACCUCGGAUCAGGUAGGAAUACCCGCUGAACUUAAGCAUAUCAAUAAGCGGAGGA